This is a long non-coding RNA of Glycine soja, 3810 nucleotides long. RefSeq lists it as uncharacterized. The transcript is spliced from 2 exons. The record is from RefSeq and is a predicted model, not a curated record. Lineage: Eukaryota; Viridiplantae; Streptophyta; Magnoliopsida; Fabales; Fabaceae.
GCCCAACAUAUGUGCUUAAUUUGAUUGAUAGUCUUGAGAUUUCUCCUUAUUACACUCAGUAUCCCUCUAUCCCUCUGCUUUAAAAUAUUACUUUUAAACCCCUGUGUCAAAUAUAGGUUCCGUUAAGUUAAUAAAAAAAAAAAUGAAACAAAUAAAAUAUGAUUUUAUGGUAUUCCGAAUUUACCCCUCUGAAUAGCAUUGACAGAUUAGGAUUGCCGGUGUUCAUUUCUCUCAUCGCAUCCUCCUCCUUUCCAUGACAGCGUCUGAUCUUCCCCACUGGAGGUCGUCGUGAAGGGAGGCGGCGCUGGCAUCUUCCACCUCCCCAUGUUCGCAGUGGUGCACUCGGUGCGGCCGCCGAGUCUCGAACUGCGAAAGACUUAGAUGCGGCAUCAUCGGAGACUCAGAUGUGAAGAGGAGAGUGCGCCAUUUCGAGAGUCAGAGUGGACUAAUUUCUAUGCAGAGUCUGUCUCUGGCGAGUGCGAUUUCGAAGGCGCAAAUAAGCUCCUUCAGGGUGUCGGCUUCUUCGAGGAGCUUGAGCUCCGCCUUGAUUACCCAGUCAUUGGUCUUUGUGUUCCCGCAAAUUAGCAUGUCGUGAACAUUAGAUUGGUUCAUUUUGGAUUUUUGCGUUCAGAUUUGAAUGGGGAUGCAUUGCAUUCUCGGAAUCGCAAUGCACUAGUAAGUCUUCUUUAAUUUGGCACUGCUGGUGAAUUUGGUGAUAUUGUGAAAGCCAAUUUAGUUUCCUGCUCUAUUAAUUGUCAAUUAAUUUUGUUUCUAACAUUGGCACCACUAGAAACUUUUGUCCCAACACUGCCAAUCAGUUAUUUUCUCUUCUGAAUCGAAUUAAUAGUACGGAUUUGGUUUCUAUAGUAAAAUGAGGGAUCAAUUUGAUUAAUGUGUAGAAAAGUUAAGAAUUGAAAUUGUUUGAAUUUUUUAGGUGUGGUGGUAGCUUAGAAAUGGGAAGAAAAUUUAGGAAUUAAAAAUGAUUGCAGGGGGCGGACUUUCCUGUUUUUGGUAGGCCUAUUCCAUUUCAUGGCAUGGGUGGUUAACUUUGGCAACGUUCAGGAUGUUUUGGGUAACAUAACAGCAUCUGGGUUCAAUUAAAUUAACGAGGAAGCUGCUCAUUUCGCGUUUGGUAGUGUUUUUUUUCCUUCAUUGAAGUUGCCCAGAUUUUUACGAGGAAGAUGAGGUCUUUUUGGGCAAAAAAAUUUCAUUAAAAGUAAUGUGCAAGGAUCUAAACGGCGUUUAAGUGUAAGGGGAGCAAGUGUAACAACUAGUGAAAAAAUAAGGGGGGUUUUGUAGGGAUUAAAAAGAGAGGGAUAUCAAGUGUAAUAAGCUAAAACAUCAAGGGGAUUAGUGUAAUUAACUCUAUAUAAUAUGUUAUAUAUUUUUAAGGACAGGUCAAUUUCCCCGUUGAUGCUUACCCGGGCAUGGGCUCUCUUUAAAUUUGGGUUUCAAGAUAUGCGAAUUUUCCCCUCAUUUUCUCUUCUUGUUGGUUGAUAAUUCAGCUGUUGUUUUUCUACUGCUAAUAAUUUUGUUUUCUAUGGCCGUUCAUGGUCCUUUUGUCAAUGACAAAUUAUAGUGUGAGAAAGCUAGUGAAUUCUCUCACAGUGAGAAAUUAGCUUCCCACACAGUUAUUUAACAUUAUAUAGCCUUGCCGCCUUGGUCUCAAAAUAUGUCUAGUGUUUAGACAAUUAGACUAGUUUAGAAACUAGAAUUAGAAUAUAUUACAUUUUACACAUUUUACAUUUACAGUAUAUGGAUUAUGGUAUUCAGUUUAGACAUUGGAUUUUAUGUUUCAUAUGUCUCAUCUUAGCAGAUUUAUUUAUGCUAUGUAUUUUUCCUCCUUGAAAAUGGAGAGAUCAUUUCUCAAGAAACCUUCUUUGAGUUGAGCUUUAUUACUUUUUUGUACUAAACAAUGCGUGCAAAGUUUCCUUGGUUGUAAUUCUGUAAACUCCUUUGUUUUGCAUCUUCUAUUAUCUUUUGGAGCAUUUGGCUUCUGUAUGCUGCUAAAAUUGAGCUGCUUGUUGAGCUAUUUUGUACCACAUGAGCUACAAAGUCGAAAUACUAAGUUAUCCAGGCUGCUGUAUGCAGUGGCUAGGUGUAGGGGGCUUGGCUGCAUUGUUGAGUUAUUUUCCUUCUAAUUGGUUUUUAUGUUCUUCUGGAUUGGGGCCUUCACCAGUAAGUGGAUGAGAAUACAACUGUCCUAUUGUUAUAAGGGGUGCAAGCGUUAACAACUCUUAAAUCUUAAUUAGAUGAAAAUUUAGUGGAUAAGAAAUAUUAUGGCCUUUUAAAAAAAAGAAUAACCAUCGUCUGAAAAGGAUAUUAGAUAAGUUAAAAAAUGAGAGUCAGAGCAUUAGAUACUUCAAAUAUCAUGGGCAGAAAAAAUGUUACCAAAAGUGCAUAGCAUUGGUCAGCCAACUUUAGUUUCAAAUAUUAUUGUUUGGAAACACAGUUGAGUGAAAACAAAAUCUGAUGUGUGGUUCACUUUUUUCUCCAUCAAAAUAUGCUCACCUAAAACCGUGGUGCAUGCUUAUCCACCUUCCCCAUCUCCUCUUCUGCAUCACUUAAAAGCUAAAUUAUGUUUCAGUCUUAGAGGACAUGAAAAGUCUUCCCCCGGUGCACUUAGAAGUAUCAAUUUUAGAUAUUGCCUCACUCUUUGUUUCACCAUCUCCUCUUCUCCUCUAGCUCCACACCACCUUUCUUCCACCCUUUUAUACCACGAAAGUAAGAAGAAAAACAGUACAAUUUUUUUAUCACUCUUGAUAUUUUGUGGUUAAAAAUUUAAAUUUUUUAUCUAUGUUAAUUGUAUACUUAAUUAAGUUUUUCGUACUUGAAAUAUAAUUUGUUUUAAAAACACUACCUAACAUUCAUUUUUUUCCUAGAUGCCUAAAAAUUUUUUGCAUUUCAUUUUAGUACCUGCCGUUAGGUUUUAUCCGUUAAUUGACAACGUGGCAUAGUCACUCACCACGUAAGUGCCUUUUUUCCACAUCAUUAAUUUUAAUUUUUAAAAAUUUAAAAAACAAAAUUUAAAUCAAGCGGCACCCCUCGACCUCGGAGGCCACUUCUCAACCCCCACGGUGCGUUGGCCGCUCUGAAGUUAUCAUGUACAUCGUUGGCUACCCCUUCGACGUCAUCUCUGUCCUCUCCGUCUAAGGGAGGCAUUUGGGAUUUUGGAAUCCUAACGGAGGCUGUUUGGUUGAUGGGAGAAAGGAUGAAGGGAAAGGGUGGGUCAUCAUCUCCGUCGUCGUCAUCUCCUAUGAUGGUUAAGUACAAAUGUGAGGUACCCGCUAUUAUGUUCACGUUGUGUAGUGUGAACCAUCUGGGGAGAAGGUUUUGGAGAUGCCCACACUGGAAUAAGGGAGUGAGUUGACCUGGCAUGUUCACGAAAAUGAAGAGUUGAAGUUGAAACUUGCUUCAUUAAUGGAGGAAGCUAAAGCAAAUGCAGAAGAAAUAGCAAAAUUGAGGAAAAAAAUUGUUGCACAUGAAGAAGAAUGUUGUGUCAGCUGAAGUUGUAUGCACUUGAAGAGUAAAAUUGGAAGGAAAAAGAAAAAUGUUGUUGAAAGGAAUAUGGUGAAGUUGUUAGGUUUUGUAGUUGUAGUUCUUUGGGUGUUCAUUUAUUUACUAAACAUUGUAAUUGCAAUGAAUGUUGGUGGUUAUAGAAGAAACUGAGUUGUAGCUGAAUUUGGUUAUUUGCUUGGGUAGUUGUAUUGUUAAAUUUGGUAGGUUGGUAUGAUGUAAAACUUUGAAAGUGAUUAUGUUGUAUUUGAUGUAGUUGGAUGUUUGUAAUGAAAUUAGUUUAUGAUGUGUUAA